AACUUCUCCAUCUGGACACACUCCUAUUACCUAAGCCAUCGUCACACUUCAAGCCAAAUCACCACCAUUCCCACCCUUGUUUUUCAGUGUCCCAUGGUUGGGACUAUGGGAAGCACUAUGUGUGAAUUGCUUCAGUUAGCCAUCACAGUAGCACCGUGAAGAAGCUAUCAUUAUACUUAUUUUACAGAUGAAGAAACUGAGAUGGAAACCCUCUUCUUUCCCUAUCGGAAAUCAGUAGCCUGUGUUGUAUAAGACAUCUUCAUGGCCAAACUACCACUAUCUUCAGGAUUCCAGCUGGACCUGCUCACCAAAGACCAUCUAUCAUAGUUGAUAUUCCCUCUUGGAAAGGGGAUGGAGAGGAUCAUGAAACCCUUGCUUGAGCAGAUCUGCUGGAGUAUUUGGUCCAGAAUAGCAGAAGAGAUGCUAUGCAAUGGAUUCUUAUUUUUAUCACGAAUACCAACACACAGCUGCACACACACAAGGUGGAUAUAUCUGCCUUGACUUGCAGGAGGAGCAGGAAGCUAUGCUGAACAAGGCCACAUACUUGACAGCCAGACCAGGCCUUCAAAAUGAGCCUGCCAGCCACACCAAGAGAUCCUAACUUUGAGAAUUUAACUCAAUUUAUUUGCAUAUCAUUAUUACUCAAAGAGAUAUC
Long non-coding RNA from Peromyscus maniculatus bairdii (prairie deer mouse), 655 nucleotides. RefSeq lists it as uncharacterized. The record is from RefSeq and is a predicted model, not a curated record. NCBI's taxonomy places the organism in Eukaryota, Metazoa, Chordata, Mammalia, Rodentia, Cricetidae.